CCCCUCGAUGUCCUGGGCCGCACGCGCGCUACACUGAUUUGUUCAACAGGUAGGUUCUUCGAUAGAAGCGCCUAAACUUCGAAAGCAAACCGUGACUGGAAUUGACGAUUGCAAUUAUUCGUCAUGAACGAGGAAUUCCUUGUAAACACGCGUCACCAACGCGUAUUGAAUACGUCCCUGCGAUUUGUACACACCGCCCGUCGCUGGAACCGAUGAGCCCUAAGUUGAGUAUCCUGGAUGAUGAUUUAUUUCAUUAGAAGGGGCGCAAAAUCUAGUGCUUAGAGGAUCCAAAAGUCGUAACA
Molecule: ribosomal RNA, 302 nt
Filed under: uncultured eukaryote
Lineage: Eukaryota
Description: partial 18S ribosomal RNA
Rfam family: Eukaryotic small subunit ribosomal RNA
Source: RNAcentral